GAUACCUUUGGCCUACCUAGUGUCCUCUUAGAAAUAUUAGGAGGUUGCAUUUCCCCCAUACCACAUUUUGGCCAUAGCUUAAGACCAUUAAUUGGGUUAACAAUUGGGUCAUAUAUUUUUAGGUAAGUAUCUUUUUUGAAAAAAUCAUUCACAUAAGCCUCAGGCUCUUCUCUAUUAUCCCAAAUUACUGCCACAGCAUGUGCAU
This 205-nucleotide long non-coding RNA is filed under the name Elaeis guineensis (African oil palm). Its description in RNAcentral is "long non-coding RNA (EGUI_LNC013496)". The record is from RNAcentral. Lineage: Eukaryota; Viridiplantae; Streptophyta; Magnoliopsida; Arecales; Arecaceae.